GGAAAGAAACCUGGAAAGGUAGGGAGGUAUGGAUAUGGACAAGCUAUGCCAAGGAGCAGGGCUUUGUCAUGGAGAGUGACUAGGUGCUUUUACAUAGGAAAGUCACCUGAUAAUAUUAAAACCUGUGAAAUAUCACUCUGGUGGAAGUGUGAAUGAAUUUGAAAGGGGUGUAACACUGUUCUACUUUGUUUACUCCUCAGUACCCUUGGCUGUGUACAUUUGAGUAAAGAGAGCACUAUAAAAUCAAAAACCAAUGAAAUGGUUUCCAGAACACAGAACUAUUAAGCUUAAGAAAAGGACAGAAGGAACUGAAGAGAGAGGAACUGUUUUGGAGCAUCACACUUCCACCUCAGAAGAAAUAAGGAAGGAAGGAGGAGGGUGUUCCCACGGCUCUUCAACCAGGCCGGCUCUUCAGCCUACAUCCCCAUCUCAUCAAGUAAAAGGGAUUUUUCAACUGGACCAACCAGAUGGUUUAACAGUGCACUCCCACACCAUUCAACUACGCAAGGGAGAUACACUUAACAUAUGCAGUCGUAUAACACCUACUAACAUUUUCAAACAUUAAACCUUUAAAAAAGAGUUCUAAAGAAAUAGAAGCUUGAAGUAUCAUCUCUCAAGUAUAUAGACACUACUUCAUGGUGUGGUAAUAUAUGCAUAUAGAAGCUAGUAAACACCUCCAGGAGAUGCAAAAGGAAUUAGAACUGCCACAAGGUGCAAGCAAAACCUUGAGGUAAUCAAUCUGCAUCCCAUUUUGGAUGAGAAUAUUUGCAACUUUGAAGGUUAUUUUAAGGACAGCAGCAGAAGAAUUAUGGCAGCUCUUCACGGAAAAAAAAAUGGCAACAAUAAAAUCAGCAACUCCUGCCAAAUAAAUGGGCAUAAAAAAGAAAUCAUAGACUGCUGGCAAUGGUGGGGAAAAAGUUAUAAAAAUUGUCUCUGCACCAUCUUCCUUUUGUCCUCUAAAAUAUUCACAUUAGCAAAAGUAUAUAACAGCUGAUGAAGAAAUACUGAUAAUUUGUCUUUCUUCUUUAAAAUAUGAAGACUUCGAAGUUAUUUAUCCAAACCAACCUGAUCAUUUCUUAAGAGUGAAUAUACCUUGGAAGACGUGUCCUGCCUUUAGUAGCGUCACAAUGGAUUACAUCCUCUAUAAAGCAGUCUGGGAUAUUCUGCCCAAUCAGAGGCUAACAUCUGCCACAAGACAAAUAUGGUGCCUGCCCCCAUGGAGCUCAUAUUCGAAUGGAGAAAAUGUCAACAAGUAUCCCACGGAGUGAACACUUCAAAAGGAGAAGCACAGGUGAGAAAAUCGAAUUUGGACACCGUUGAGGAGACUAUUGCAGUCAUCCAAGCUCAAGAUGGUGGAGCUUCAUCCUUGAGAAUAACCAAUGGGGAUAGAUUUAAGAGACACUUAGAGUCUGCAGCCAACAGGGCUGAAUGAGCAGAGAGUUAUGAUUCAGAAGAUCAUCUAAAAUUGAACAGCUGCCACUACUGGCAAUAAGUCUACUGCCAUUUGGUAGAUAACCUUCUUAUCACACAGAAAAAUAUCAGUACAGACAAAUAGACCGCAAAGAAAAUGAGACCAUCAGCAAAGAAGAUAAAGAAGUUUGUACAAAGCAACUUUUUAUAAAUGGAUGGCUGUCAGGCAAAAAUAAAUUUCCUGUGGACAAGACCAAGAGCAAGGCAAGAGGAAAAUAAACAUGUUUAAAC
Homo sapiens (human) is the source of this 1701-nucleotide long non-coding RNA. Ensembl annotates it as long intergenic non-protein coding RNA 343. The record is from Ensembl. Lineage: Eukaryota; Metazoa; Chordata; Mammalia; Primates; Hominidae.